This 781-nucleotide long non-coding RNA is filed under the name Heterocephalus glaber (naked mole-rat). RNAcentral describes it as "lncRNA (ENSHGLG00000046032.1)". Lineage: Eukaryota; Metazoa; Chordata; Mammalia; Rodentia; Bathyergidae. The record is from RNAcentral.
AGCUGCUGGUGCUGCAAGAUGAGGUCCCUGAAGUUUUCACUGCCGCUGAGCCCGGAACUCAUUGCUAACACAGCCUUCCCCACUGCAGAGAGAAAUCCCACUGUGUCUCUAUUCCUCUGUGAUACCACUUUUUUCUUUUCUUUUUUUUGAGACUGGGUCUCACUAUGUAGUUCAGGCUGGCCCUGAACUCAAAGGAUCCUUCUGCUGCCUCAGCCUCCUGAGACUGGGAUUACAGGGGUACAGCACCAUACCCAACUGUGAUCCGACUUCAACUCAAGUCUGAAUGACAGUCUGAUUGAUCGUGUACCUGUGACCCAGCUGCAAGAAGUCUAGGAAGGCAAAUACCUGGCAUUUCUGAAACACGUUUUGCUUCUCCAAAGAUUCUGAAAUGGAAAAUUUCUCCAAACAUGGAAGAGACACAGCCAGGUGUGGUGACGCACACCUGUAAUGCCAACUGCUCAGGAGAGUCACAAUUUGAAGCCAAUCUGGGCAACUUUGUGAGACUCUGUUUCAAAAUAAAAAAGGACUGGAGAUGUAUUUCAGUGGUAUCAAACUCAGGACCUUGAGCUUGCCAGGCAGGCGGCACAGCACUGUUGAGCUACAUCCCAGGACCCCACAUUUAUUUUCACUUUCAGGAGCAGAGGGAUCCUAAAAGCUGGAUCUGUAGCUGCAACACCUUUGUCCACAGCUGUCUUCUCACUGUGUUUUGUUGCUGUACUGGGAAUUGAACCAGGGCCACCACCGCUGGGCGAAUACUCUAUCACUGAGGUAUAUCCAUAGC